This 122-nucleotide ribosomal RNA is filed under the name Microcystis flos-aquae DF17. Its description in RNAcentral is "partial 23S ribosomal RNA". The record is from RNAcentral. Lineage: Bacteria; Bacillati; Cyanobacteriota; Cyanophyceae; Chroococcales; Microcystaceae.
GGUGGUAAAUUGUCAGCAAGCUGCCAAGGCUGAUUUUGGCGAACCAUUGCAUUAAGAAUAACUAAGAUUUUCCGCACACAAGCAGUCAGAGCCAGUUUUUUUGAUUUACCUCGUCCGACUAG